CCUUCUUCCUGCCACUGGGCCCAUGAUGGGGGUCCCCAACUUUCAAGAACACAGGGGAUGCGCAUUCUCAGGAAACACGUCCCCUCGCCAGGCCCCUGGGAAGAGUCAAAACCACGAUGCCUGCCCCUGAAGCGCCCGCGCGGCUCCACGGGGCUCCAUGUUGUCACCCACUAGCUCCUGGACGCUAUCAGCCCGCAGCAGGGUUUCCUGGCCAGAGAAACCGCCUGUUGGGGUGCGGAGCGUUCCACGUCCCCUCGCAGCACCCCGCUGGCCUUCUGGGCCGCCCCGCCCCCAACCCGCGCCCGGGCGCUGACGUCAU
This 319-nucleotide long non-coding RNA is filed under the name Homo sapiens (human). RNAcentral describes it as "PREDICTED lncRNA (TCONS_00038894)". The record is from RNAcentral. Lineage: Eukaryota; Metazoa; Chordata; Mammalia; Primates; Hominidae.